GAUGAACGCUAGCGGCAGGCUUAAUACAUGCAAGUCGAGGGGGCAGCAAUGUCACCGGCGAACGGGUGCGUAACGCGUAUGCAACCUACCUACAUCAGGGGGAUAGCCCUAGGAAACUGGGAUUAACACCGCAUAACAUAUGACAAGGCAGCUGGUUAUAUUGAAAGAUUGAUAGGAUGUAGAUGGGCAUGCGUAGGAUUAGCUAGUUGGUAAGGUAACGGCUUACCAAGGCUACGAUCCUUAGGGGCUCUGAGAGGAGUAUCCCCCACACUGGCACUGAGAUACGGGCCAGACUCCUACGGGAGGCAGCAGUAGGGAAUAUUGGGCAAUGGAGGCAACUCUGACCCAGCCAUGCCGCGUGCAGGAAGACGGUCCUCUGGAUUGUAAACUGCUUUUGAAUGGGAAGAAUGUGUGGCUUGCGAGCUAUAAUGACGGUACCAUUAGAAUAAGCCACGGCUAACUACGUGCCAGCAGCCGCAGUAA
This 483-nucleotide ribosomal RNA is filed under the name uncultured bacterium. Its description in RNAcentral is "partial 16S ribosomal RNA". It matches the Rfam family "Bacterial small subunit ribosomal RNA", at positions 28 to 523 of the family's 1533-position model. The record is from RNAcentral.